UACAACUCUUAGCGGUGGAUCACUCGGCUCGUGCGUCGAUGAAGAACGCAGCUAGCUGCGAGAACUAAUGUGAAUUGCAGGACACAUUGAUCAUUGACAUUUCGAACGCACCUUGCGGCCCCGGGUUCUUCCCGGGGCUACGCCUGUCUGAGGGUCGCUU
RNAcentral lists this ribosomal RNA (160 nucleotides) under Cynoglossus melampetalus. Its description in RNAcentral is "5.8S ribosomal RNA". It matches the Rfam family "5.8S ribosomal RNA". Rfam says of the family: 5.8S ribosomal RNA (5.8S rRNA) is a component of the large subunit of the eukaryotic ribosome. The record is from RNAcentral. Lineage: Eukaryota; Metazoa; Chordata; Actinopteri; Pleuronectiformes; Cynoglossidae.